Molecule: long non-coding RNA, 1244 nt
Organism: Portunus trituberculatus (swimming crab)
Lineage: Eukaryota; Metazoa; Arthropoda; Malacostraca; Decapoda; Portunidae
Exons: 3
Source: RefSeq, a predicted model, not a curated record
ACUACUACACCCUCCCUCUCCAUCUCCCCAACCCUCUUCUGCACCUCCUCACUCACUGCCUUCACAGAGAGGCCUUGUUCUUUGCAGUUGGUCUCUUCAGCCUUUCCCGCACCAAAUUUGUCACAAAAAUGAUACCAGCAGGAUCCUGCCAAUACCUCUUCACCAGCUCACAGUCAUCUAGCUUAUUCAGGAGGUCCUUCCUCUCACGAAACGACCGUCUCUGUCGCAGGUGGUGGCGGUGCGGUCCCCUAGAGCGGCCAUGUUUACUUUUAGGAUGAAAUCUUAGGAGCGCGUCUUAAGCGCGGUUCACACGAGGAAUGUUUACCCAUGAUCCGGGAACAAGCUUUGGCUAAACUGUGAUCCGGCUCAGCAAGUUCCCGGGUUUCAAGGUUCCGUUUGGAUGGUGAACUUGCUGACGCUACGUGGGAACUCACGACUGGACGACGAUUUGCUGCUUGCUCUCCUCGUGUGUUGACAAGUGUUUAAAAUUAUGGAGAACGAGUUAUUGUGGCCCAGGAGUGUUAUCAGAUAUUUGUGCGAACUGGUAGAAGGGCACAGAUUCCUCUGGGACCCACAAAAUGUGGACUAUCCCAAGCAUAAACUCAGAUUGAAAGUGUUUGGUGAGAUAGCCCAGGAAAUCAAGGCUCAAUACCCUGCGAUGACCACUUUGACUGCAGAUCAAGUUCGUGUUAAAUUUAAGAAGCUGAAGGCAUACUUUCUGCGAGAGCACAAAUAGAUACAGUCAGCACCAAGUGGCUCAGCAGGCAAGACACCUACAAAAUGGGAAUAUUACGACUGCCUUGCAUUCCUAGGUCCAAGUGAGGAGCUCACAACAGAGGCAUGCUGGUCGGGACCAACACACAAGGAACCUUCAUUACCCAUGCCAGAAUUUCCACCUGAAGAGUCAUCCAUCUAUUUAGUUGAAGAAGCCAGUAUAUGUGAGGGACUUGAGGAAACUGGUUUUGAAACAGACCAGAUCAGUCAUUCCACUGAACAAGCCAAACAGGUGACUGCAAAUGAUCUUGCUGAUGCCUUGAGGACAUUCAGUAAAGAACACAACCCUGGGUCACUUACAAGUUCAGCUUCAUCAUCCCUUCUGACGACUCCAUCAUCAUCUAGUCCAGUUUUGUCAGCAGCUGAAGGCCAGCCUAGGCAUUUGUCUUCGAAUGCCAUGAAGAGGAAACGAGCCAAGGCAUAUGAUUCAGCACUAGAAGUUGCAUUACAAAUGAGUGCGCAAGAACCAC